CCUAGUCCUGGAGGAAGGCUUACCAUCACAGGGGGCAGCGGUGGGUGGCUAAACAGCACUACAGUUAGCAGCAAUCGAAUCAGCAGUGCUGGAAGCGGGUCUAAACUCAGCGGUGCGGGUAGCAACGACAGAUUAAGCAGCCAAGCCGGGGGAAGGAUCAGCAGCUCGUCUGGCUCAGGGAGGACCAAUAGCACGGGAGGAAGGGUGAUCACCAGCAGUGACGGGCCAAUCAGGAGCACGGGCAGCGGCGUUGGAGCCAAUAAAGAGAGGAUCAGUGUGUGUAAGAUGGCGGCCCUGUCGAUGUCAGCAGCGGGGAUGGAGAGAAGCAAGGAGAGACAAAGACAAGCUAAGAAGUCCCAGCAGGAGCAGGCUGCAGCUAACAGGCCUCAUGUCCAGCGCUGGCUGACCUCAGGUGUCGGAGCAGCGGGCAACGACCUUGACGGCCUUGAUGACAUCAUUCGCCUCUGAUUGGCUAACGGAGGCCCUAUUUUGGUGACCCACUUCGUGCUUUCACCCUUUACACCAGGUUUCUGCAGAGGCACCAACAUUUAGCGAGAAAAAAAAAAAAGAUGAUUCUCUCAAAUUCGAUGUUGAUUGUCUGUAUUCUGAUCUUCUGAUGAUCACAUGUGAGUUGACAGAAUUAUAAAAGUACUCGCCGCUUUACUUCAUCAACUUCUAUGCAUUUUUUAUCCAUUUUUAUCCUGAUCUGAUAACUUCCACCCAAAACUCCCAAAUAACUCAGAUUGAAAUUCUUGAAUAAUUUGGUAUCAUCUUUUCAAGCACUGUUGUGUUUUGAUGAUUAAAAAAAAAAAAAAAACACUCUUGCUGUUAAUUUGCUUUAAUAAGAGAAAAAACUAUAUGGUGAUUGGGUGGGGUAAAAAGUUAAUAUAAAAAAGUGGGGGAAAAAAAACAUGAGCAGACUGCAAAAAAUGAAUAAAUAAAUAUUUAUAAAAAAAAAAUGAAAGGGUGAGGGACAAAUCCAGCAGAGAAAAGGGAGAGUUCACUUCAUUUACCUGCUUGACUGUGUCCUAUAUUGAAUAUUGUCCUCUUCCUGACUGUGAAUACUUACAUUGAUGAUUAUUUCCCUUGAUAACACUGAUUGUUUGUGUGCUGCACUCCCAUAAUCACACUUCCCUCAUAUCAUAUGUGAAUCAACAACAUGUGGUGUCACUCUUUAAAACCCAGCAGCUCUGCUUGCAGGAGAUUUGUUAUCUGUGCAAAGCCUCUGCUCUACCACUGAAUAUAUAUUUACACUUGAUUGUUCUCCUUUUUUUUCAUAUAUAAAAUCGGUUUUAUCUCAGUUUGUACAUGUACUGACAAGAAUAAACCAGCAAACAUCCAACCUGUGAGUGAGUGGCUGAUUUCUAACUAUCUUGGUGUGCGCCGCUCAGGUUUAAAGCCCUUAUCUCAUCUUUUUCGUCCGGCUGGUGUCUAUAAAAUCUGUUCUGACAAAUAAAGCUGAUAAAUAAAUCAUAAUCUG
Molecule: long non-coding RNA, 1480 nt
Filed under: Myripristis murdjan (pinecone soldierfish)
Lineage: Eukaryota; Metazoa; Chordata; Actinopteri; Holocentriformes; Holocentridae
Description: lncRNA (ENSMMDG00005000724.1)
Source: RNAcentral